This 426-nucleotide ribosomal RNA is filed under the name Triticum aestivum (bread wheat). Its description in RNAcentral is "partial small subunit ribosomal RNA". The record is from RNAcentral. Lineage: Eukaryota; Viridiplantae; Streptophyta; Magnoliopsida; Poales; Poaceae.
AUGCCAGGGACACCUCGCGUCAGAGCGAGGCGAGGCGCUCUUCCCGCCGCUCCUCGUGAGGUGAGACCCCAAACUGCCAAAGUACACACGAGACACGCCGCGCCGCGCCGCGUCCCUCGCACUCCACCGCCGCGGCGGCGCCACCGCCCCGGGCUCGCCUCCCUCGCCGACCGACCGGCACCUUCUCAUCCUCACCGACUACCCGCCGGGCUCCUACCCGCGCCUACCCCGCUCGACGCGUUCCCGAACUCCUCUCGAGCCCACCACCGCCGCGGCGGCGGGAUCGGCGUCGGAUUCACGCACGCCGUCCAUGCCACCGAGCCGUGCGGUGCAGCCGCUCCCGCGUGUGAUCCUGCGCGGCCCGGUCGUGCACUGGAUGGAUCGCGGCGAAGCGUGGGCUGCCAUUGCCUGGCCUCGGGCGUGUGA